GGAAAACGUAAGAGUCAGAAUCAAAACUCCAAAUUUCUCUUCGACUCCUUCUUCUUCCCUCUCGUCGAGCCAUCAAGCCCCUCUUCUUCCUCACGACCUCUUGUUCUUCCCUCUCGAGCUCUUGUUCUUCACUCUCAUCGAACCAUUUUUAUCCAUCCCUUCUUCUCUAGCCUCCACUGCACACACCUCUUUCGUGUUACCCUCUCCUCGAACCCUAGCCGCUACCCCGUGCUCCAUUACAAGGUUGAGGGGACUGGAGACCGCUCCACCAUUCAUGCCUCCUCGUUGGCUCUCCCCUUGGAACCCUAACUCAUUCUUAGACUCACGUGGAGACGACUGGAAUGGUAGCGUCGAAGUCUCGUGCUUACUGACUAAAGCUUUCUCACUCACACUCGCUCACGGUCACUGGUAGAGAAGAAGAAUGUCUCCCACUAACUGUUCUUCUCGCUCACGCUCACUCAAAGAGAAGAAGUUCGUCCAUUCUUCUCGUGUUCACUCACCUUGUUGUACAUCAUGCUCACCUGGGAGAGUUAUCCGUUCAAUCGAAUGGUCCGUUGUGGGGUUUGCGCAAAGAUUCACCAAAUAUAUUCGUUUGUUCUUGAAUAUGUAGUUGAUUUUGAUGAAUAGAGCUUCUGAAAUGUGAAAGACGGUGAUGGACUUAUUCCUAGGCCAAACCAUGGAAAUGAGAGUGCAAAAGAAGAAGAGAGAGACCGGAGAGUGGGUGGCCGUUGAUGCCAAGACCAAACCCCUCUUGGAGCUCCAGACGAGGGUCAUUUCAUUUGUCUUUCAAACCAGCAAUCCCAGACUUCUAAUCAUAGCAUGCACCAACAAGAUAGAGUAGGGGGAGGUGGUGGCAGUGUCACUGUGGUUGGUGGCAUGUCAAACUCAUUUAGAGGAAAUGACCAGGUUUCAAAAAGCCAAAUUGGGAGAAAGAGAAAGCAGCCUAGAUCAUCGUCAGGUCCUGCUAAUAGUACAGGCACAGCAAAUAGUUAGGAAACAUCAAUUGGUGGUCUCCUUCUUCUCUUAAAAAAAAGUAGUUUUUCUCUCUUCCUUUGGUCUGCAUAAAAUUGCAUAUAUAUAAAAAAAAUGAAGAAGUUUGUACUCAAGUUGGAUUUGCAUGAUGACAAGGAAAAGCAGAAGGCCUUGAAAACAGUUUCAACUCUUUCAGUUCGAAGGUGGUGCAAAAGAAGGUGGUAGAGGACCAAGUGUGUGGGAUACUUUCACCCAUAAAUUUCCAGAUAAGAUACUGGACAAAAGCAAUGGAGAUGUGGCUAUAGAUACAUAUCACCGUUAUAAGGCUGCUACGAACUACAUGUAUAAGAUAAUGAAUAAUGCAAGUUUGAGCAUAUCACACAUGGUAGGGCCAGCAGAGAAAGUGACUUUGGCUGAUCAUCCAAUCGAAGGCUUCUACUUCAUGACUGUUGGUUUAUCUCAGAAAAGAAAGCAUGAAAGUGGCCAAUGGCUUUUGAGCCCUGCUUCUUUUCUGUGUUGGCAGUCUAUCUGUGCAGAAAGAACCGUAGGGAUGCUUUUCUGUGCUGGUAUUCCGAGAGUUAAUGGUUGGAAAAGGUAUAACAAAAGAUGAUAAAGCUCAAACAUAAUUGUUCUGGUUGUGAUUACAAGUUGCUAAAUUAGUAUUGAAGUCCAAAGUGUUAUUACUACAGAGAGGUAUAUGAUUCAAAUGCUACAUAAAUAUUUUAUUGUAUUAGUUGGUUAAAAUCUUGUUUAAUAUAUAUUUGUAUAGUGUGGAUGCAGGGCAUAUAUAUUUAUUGUAUGGGAUGUUAGUCAUGAUUGAUAUAUUGUUAUAUAUAUUACAUUUAUUACGUUAUAUAUUAUAUAGCAAGCUAAGAUAAGUUUUCGUUUCA
Vigna angularis (adzuki bean) is the source of this 1862-nucleotide long non-coding RNA. RefSeq lists it as uncharacterized. The transcript has 10 exons. The record is from RefSeq and is a predicted model, not a curated record. Lineage: Eukaryota; Viridiplantae; Streptophyta; Magnoliopsida; Fabales; Fabaceae.